GACGAACCGAGCGAACGUUGUUCGGAAUCACUGGGCUUAAAGGGCGCGUAGGCGGGCUGCCGCGUCCGGGGUGAAAGCCUCCCGCUCAACGGGAGAACGGCCUCGGAUACGGGCGGCCUCGAGGGGGGUAGGGGCGUGCGGAACUGUGGGUGGAGCGGUGAAAUGCGUUGAUAUCCACAGGAACUCCGGUGGCGAAGGCGGCACGCUGGACCCCAUCUGACGCUGAGGCACGAAAGCGUGGGGAGCAAACAGG
This 253-nucleotide ribosomal RNA is filed under the name uncultured bacterium. Its description in RNAcentral is "partial 16S ribosomal RNA". It matches the Rfam family "Bacterial small subunit ribosomal RNA", at positions 524 to 776 of the family's 1533-position model. The record is from RNAcentral.